GGAGUGGACGCAUCACUGGUGUUCGGGUUGUCAUGCCAAUGGCACUGCCCGGUAGCUAAAUGCGGAAAAGAUAAGUGCUGAAAGCAUCUAAGCACGAAACUUGCCCCGAGAUGAGUUCUCCCUGAGACUUUAAGUCUCCUGAAGGAACGUUGAAGACGACGACGUUGAUAGGUCGGGUGUGUAAGCGCAGCGAUGCGUUGAGCUAACCGAUACUAAUGAACCGUGAGGCUUAACCUU
This 237-nucleotide ribosomal RNA is filed under the name Enterobacter roggenkampii. RNAcentral describes it as "partial 23S ribosomal RNA". It matches the Rfam family "Bacterial large subunit ribosomal RNA", at positions 2694 to 2925 of the family's 2925-position model. The record is from RNAcentral. Lineage: Bacteria; Pseudomonadati; Pseudomonadota; Gammaproteobacteria; Enterobacterales; Enterobacteriaceae.